CGGAAACGCGACCCACUGAGAAGAUCCGGCGAGAAUCUCAGUGGGCUGUGUCUGUGUGAUAAGGAGCUCUUAGUUAAAAAAAGGAAAUAAUUAUUGGCCUUGAGUAUAAUGAAACAAAAAAAAAACGUUUUAAUGAGCUUAUACAAAUUAAUUAUACGUGUUGCCACUACUAAAGCCAAAUCUGUUCGGCCGAGCUUUUUUUAAUGAAGAAUUAAGCACAUUUAAUUUUGUCUUGCUUGGUCGUGCGCAUAUGGCUUAAUAUAUGUUACAAGUCAGAUUUUUUACUUGUUGUUACUUAUUGUGUAUCUUUUUAGCUUGUAAUGUGUAUUGUGUGCCUAAUAAAUAAAUAAAUAGAUUACUUGUAACCCGGACGGCUUUUCAGUUUCACCAGGACAUGGGAGCCUCUGCCGCGUUUUAAGUACUCGCUUUAUAUAAAGACAAUGGGUCCGGGACUGCUUCAGGCUGCAUUUUAGGUACAUAGUGUUGGUAAUUAGGGGCCUGUGUAACUAUACCACCACUCUGCCCAUUUCUGCUGCGAAUCUAUAAUUAAAUACACUUCUUCUUUCUUCUUCUUAGUCGAAUACUUCAUUGCUGAAGGUCGUGUCCUUGAAAGCCCUUCGUGGCUCUUUGUACCCUCAGCUUCCAUUUGCUUCGGUUUUCGGCUUCUCUCAGGGCGUUCGUAACAGAGAGUCCAGUGAGCGCAGUUAUCUGAUCCGACCAACCUUCGAUCAACAAUAGUAACUAGAUUUCGGGUCGGCGCAAAAAUCCGUCUCGUUAAAUAACAGCGCACUUCAAAUGUGAGCUCUUAUUUUGUCUAGUUCACUCCAGACACAGCCAAUGUCAACCCGUCUCACAAUGCCGCAGUGUGUAUUCAAAAAUUGCAAAAAAUGCCCGAAAAAGCAAUUUAACGGCCGGAGUAUCUUACUUUCGCUUUCCUAGCAAUCACGUGUGCAGAAUGGAUCUCGAUUGUCGCCAGAGAAAGAAGAGAUUACUUUUAUAAGCCAGCUAAGAACUCCACUCAUUGACACUGGACAUCUUUGCCUUCCGUGUUCACGGCUACUGAAACGUGGCCGAAGCAUUGUAAUAAAAAUAUCGCGCUCAAAACCGUUUAAA
Molecule: long non-coding RNA, 1113 nt
Organism: Bombyx mori (domestic silkworm)
Lineage: Eukaryota; Metazoa; Arthropoda; Insecta; Lepidoptera; Bombycidae
Exons: 2
Source: RefSeq, a predicted model, not a curated record